AAAACCUGCCUUUCUUUCCUUUAAGGAUAAACAGUAUCAUCAAUGAACAGGGGGAGAGAUUACAGUCCCCAAAGCAAGACAGAGCCCAGGAUCUUGGACUCAAGGUCAGAAAAGGGUUAUCCUUUUCUGAUUGAAGGUUUCAAUUAAGGAGAAUUUCACUGCUAUAGCUCAAAGAAAAUUAACUUGGAAAUGUGAUAUGCCAUGAAAAGAAACUCAAAUGACAUUAGAAAGAGAGAAGUAAUCAUCUCAUCAGAAGCUAUAAUAAUGCAAGGUAAAUCAUCCCAUUUAAGUAUUUCUCCAAUGUAAUCUAUAAAUAUGAAU
Molecule: long non-coding RNA, 321 nt
Filed under: Pan troglodytes (chimpanzee)
Lineage: Eukaryota; Metazoa; Chordata; Mammalia; Primates; Hominidae
Description: long non-coding RNA NONPTRT004428
Source: RNAcentral